This 70-nucleotide transfer RNA is filed under the name Apoderus jekelii. RNAcentral describes it as "tRNA-Trp". It matches the Rfam family "tRNA". From Rfam's summary of the family: Transfer RNA (tRNA) molecules are approximately 80 nucleotides in length. Their secondary structure includes four short double-helical elements and three loops (D, anti-codon, and T loops). Further hydrogen bonds mediate the characteristic L-shaped molecular structure. tRNAs have two regions of fundamental functional importance: the anti-codon, which is responsible for specific mRNA codon recognition, and the 3' end, to which the tRNAs corresponding amino acid is attached (by aminoacyl-tRNA synthetases). tRNAs cope with the degeneracy of the genetic code in two manners: having more than one tRNA (with a specific anti-codon) for a particular amino acid; and 'wobble' base-pairing, i.e. permitting non-standard base-pairing at the 3rd anti-codon position. Lineage: Eukaryota; Metazoa; Arthropoda; Insecta; Coleoptera; Attelabidae. The record is from RNAcentral.
AAGGAUUUAGGUUAAAUUAAACCGUUAGCCUUCAAAGUUGAAGACAGGCUAAUUAAAGGUCUAAGCCUUA